GACGAACGCUGGCGGCGUGCUUAACACAUGCAAGUCGAACGAUGACGACCGAGCUUGCUCGGUCUGAUUAGUGGCGAACGGGUGAGUAACACGUGAGCAACCUGCCCUUCACUCUGGGAUAACCUCGGGAAAUCGGGGCUAAUACCGGAUAUGAGCUCCUGUCGCAUGGCGGGUGUUGGAAAGUUUUUCGGUGAAGGAUGGGCUCGCGGCCUAUCAGUUUGUUGGUGAGGUAGUGGCUCACCAAGGCGAUGACGGGUAGCCGGCCUGAGAGGGCAACCGGCCACACUGGGACUGAGACACGGCCCUGACUCCUACGGGAGGCAGCAGUGGGGAAUAUUGCACAAUGGGCGAAAGCCUGAUGCAGCGACGCCGCGUGAGGGAUGACGGCCUUCGGGUUGUAAACCUCUUUCAGCAGGGAAGAAGCGAAAGUGACGGUACCUGCAGAAGAAGCGCCGGCUAACUACGUG
Molecule: ribosomal RNA, 467 nt
Filed under: uncultured bacterium
Lineage: Bacteria
Description: partial 16S ribosomal RNA
Rfam family: Bacterial small subunit ribosomal RNA
Source: RNAcentral